RNAcentral lists this long non-coding RNA (975 nucleotides) under Olea europaea subsp. europaea. Lineage: Eukaryota; Viridiplantae; Streptophyta; Magnoliopsida; Lamiales; Oleaceae. The record is from RNAcentral.
CCACCACAAACAGCUAACAGCUUAUGAUUAUUAUAUACGAACAUUGUCUGCCACUGUUUCAUCUUUCCUAAAGCAAACGAACUGGCAGUCUUCUUACAUUGCUUAUCAUGUCUAAAGCAAUCCUUGGCAGUUAAAAGAGAGACUCCGUGCAAGAAUUUGAUUUGUCUCCCUUCCUCCUCCUAUCGAAACACUCGUCUCAGAUAGCUUUGGUCGGGCAUUUGAUUUGUCUCCCUUCCACUUUAGAUCGUGUGUCAGUCAGCUCUGGUGGCUCUUUCUGCUUUGACAUUUGAAUUGUCUCCCUUUGUUUUCGAAACACUCGACCCAUAUAGGUUUGGUGGUGUAAUCGUCAUGUCGGGUUCUUGCAGUUACAAGUGGCUAAUCUUGUGCUUUCUUGCACUCAUUUUCAUAUCAGAAGCAUCAAGAGUGCCUAAGGUACAUUGGGACCAAAUGCUGCCUAAAAAGCUACCUUCUCCGUCUUCAGUUCCUUCCAAAGGCACAAAUUCUGUCACUACAUCUUCUAUGGCUGUAGAAAAGGAGAGACAUCUCCCUUCAUCAGAUGGAAACGUUUAGCCAGAUUCGAGUAGGUAGCUCAAUCAAUGUCUUGAACAACUUAUGGAUGGACUGCAAAUAAUACAAUGCAACGAGUUCUGCAGGACGAAAAUAGUCAGUUGUGGACAGUUUGAAGAUACACCGCAGAUAUACAUAAUCAGAAGAAAGAGGAUCUGAUUUAUGAUCCAACAGCUGGCAUUCAAAUGCAAAGAUAUAUGAAAUGUUAAGCCCUUCGUUGACAGGGAGAUAUGUCUAGUUUGUAUGUAGACUACAUCUAAUUCUUAGGAUAACUUAAUGAUUUCAAUAUAAUUUUUUAGUACAAACUCAGGUGAGUCUUAAUUUUUCUCCUCAUAGAAUGAAUAAAACUCGUGUACUCAUUAAUGUCCGAUUCUUGACAUUUACGACAUGUUUUAUAUGAUGAACAGG